This 533-nucleotide ribosomal RNA is filed under the name Bifidobacterium dentium. Its description in RNAcentral is "bacterial SSU rRNA". It matches the Rfam family "Bacterial small subunit ribosomal RNA", at positions 160 to 703 of the family's 1533-position model. Lineage: Bacteria; Bacillati; Actinomycetota; Actinomycetes; Bifidobacteriales; Bifidobacteriaceae. The record is from RNAcentral.
GUGGUAAUGCCGGAUGCUCCGGUUGGAUGCAUGUCCUUCCGGGAAAGGUUCCAUCGGUAUGGGAUGGGGUCGCGUCCUAUCAGCUUGAUGGCGGGGUAACGGCCCACCAUGGCUUCGACGGGUAGCCGGCCUGAGAGGGCGACCGGCCACAUUGGGACUGAGAUACGGCCCAGACUCCUACGGGAGGCAGCAGUGGGGAAUAUUGCACAAUGGGCGCAAGCCUGAUGCAGCGACGCCGCGUGCGGGAUGGAGGCCUUCGGGUUGUAAACCGCUUUUGAUCGGGAGCAAGCCCUUCGGGGUGAGUGUACCUUUCGAAUAAGCACCGGCUAACUACGUGCCAGCAGCCGCGGUAAUACGUAGGGUGCAAGCGUUAUCCGGAAUUAUUGGGCGUAAAGGGCUCGUAGGCGGUUCGUCGCGUCCGGUGUGAAAGCCCAUCGCUUAACGGUGGGUCUGCGCCGGGUACGGGCGGGCUGGAGUGCGGUAGGGGAGACUGGAAUUCCCGGUGUAACGGUGGAAUGUGUAGAUAUCGGGAA